Molecule: ribosomal RNA, 859 nt
Filed under: Xylaria berteroi
Lineage: Eukaryota; Fungi; Ascomycota; Sordariomycetes; Xylariales; Xylariaceae
Description: partial large subunit ribosomal RNA
Rfam family: Eukaryotic large subunit ribosomal RNA
Source: RNAcentral
ACAGGGAUUGCCCUAGUAACGGCGAGUGAAGCGGCAACAGCUCAAAUUUGAAAUCUGGCCCUCGGGUCCGAGUUGUAAUUUGUAGAGGAUGCUUUUGGCGCGGUGCCUUCCGAGUUCCCUGGAACGGGACGCCUUAGAGGGUGAGAGCCCCGUACGGUUGGACACCAAGCCUCUGUAAAGCUCCUUCGACGAGUCGAGUAGUUUGGGAAUGCUGCUCUAAAUGGGAGGUAAAUUUCUUCUAAAGCUAAAUAUUGGCCAGAGACCGAUAGCGCACAAGUAGAGUGAUCGAAAGAUGAAAAGCACUUUGAAAAGAGGGUUAAAUAGCACGUGAAAUUGUUGAAAGGGAAGCGUUUGCGACCAGACCUUUUCCUAGCGGAUCAACCGGUGUUCUCACCGGUGCACUUCGCUAGGUUUAGGCCAGCAUCGGUUUCUGUAGGGGGAUAAAAGCUCUGGGAACGUAGCUCCUCCGGGAGUGUUAUAGCCCUCUGCAUAAUACCCUUACGGGGACCGAGGACCGCGCUUCGGCAAGGAUGCUGGCGUAAUGGUCGUCAACGACCCGUCUUGAAACACGGACCAAGGAGUCGAACAUUUGUGCGAGUGUUUGGGUGUUAAACCCUCACGCGUAAUGAAAGUGAACGGAGGUGAGAGCCCUUACGGGUGCAUCAUCGACCGAUCCUGAUGUCUUCGGAUGGAUUUGAGUAAGAGCAUAACUGUUCGGACCCGAAAGAUGGUGAACUAUGCGUGGAUAGGGUGAAGCCAGAGGAAACUCUGGUGGAGGCUCGCAGCGGUUCUGACGUGCAAAUCGAUCGUCAAAUCUGCGCAUGGGGGCGAAAGACUUAUCGAACCAUCUAGUAGCUGG